GAAGUCGCUCAGUCAUGUCCGACUCUUAGCGACCCCAUGGACUGCAGCCUAUCAGGCUGCUCCGCCCAUGGGAUUUUCCAGGCAAGAGGACUGGAAAAGUGACGGGGUGCCACCGCCUUCUCCAUUGGCAGUGCUAGAGCUGAGCUUAGUGUCUUGCUGCUGGGGCCUCUAAGGGUCUCACCUGCUUCAGAAGCUUCAGGGGGUGUCUGGGAGGAAUCGUGACCACAGAGCUGCCCAGGCAUCUCCCGGUUGCAGAUUGCUCUCCUGCCACUCUCUUUUUUUAGUGUUUAUUUUAUUUAUUUGUUAAGCCGGAUCUUAGCUGUGGUACAAGGGAUCUUUAGUGGUGACAUGCAUGCUUAGUCUGUCAGUCGUGUCCGACUCUUUGCAACCCCAUGGACUUAGCCUGCCAGUCUCCCCUAUCCAUGGGAUUUCCCAGCUAGAAUACUAGAGUGGGUUGCCAUUUCCUCCUCCAGGAGAUCUUCCCGACCCAGGGGUCGAACCUGUCUCUCCUGCAUUGCAGGUGUAUUCUUUACUCCCUGAGCCAUCAGGGAGCCCACAGAGGCAUGCGAACUCUUGUGGCAUGUGUAAUCUAAUUCCCUGACCAGGGAUUGAACCCGGGCAUGGAGCCCGAGUCUUAGCCAUUGGACCACCAGAGAAGUCUCUCUCUUGCCACUCGUACAGGCUUCACACUGCAACUGCAAAAAUUAUUUUUAAAAGAAGACAGAACAGAAAACUAGUGGCCUCCCAGCCUGGCUCAUGUGGCAGGACCCAUCUGUCCUGUGGCAGAGAUACAUGUUUCUGGGUCUUCUAGACUCCGCCUUUUGGAUUCCCCUGGAGUCCCCAGCUCUACUUGAAAAAGUCCAGCUAUCUUCUGAUUGGGACAGUGGUGUGUGUGUGCUAAGUCACUUCAGUCAUGUCCAACUCUUUGCGACCCUAUGGACUAUAGCCCACCAGGCAUUUCUGUCCGUGGAAUUCUCCAGGCAAGAAUAAUAGAGUGGGUUGCCAUCCCCUCCUCCAAGGGAUCUUCCCAACUUAGGGAUGGAACCCAUGUCUUAUGUCUACUGCACUGGCGGGCGAACUCUUUACCCCUAGCGCCACCUGGGACAAGAGGGGAUUGCUUAUAUUUGGGCUCGCCUCAUGAUUCCACUGAGAUGGCUCUGUUCUCCUCUAACUCUACAGGAUAUGCAAAUUGAUGUCAAGAAGUUUUUUAAUAACGUGUGUGGUUGUCACCUUGAAUUAUUGCUUCAGUAAGUCCAUUCUUGUUUCUUACUUGAACUUUCUUGGUUUGCAGGUGCCAAACCAAAAUAAAUAAAAAAUGAUCA
Molecule: long non-coding RNA, 1322 nt
Organism: Bubalus bubalis (water buffalo)
Lineage: Eukaryota; Metazoa; Chordata; Mammalia; Artiodactyla; Bovidae
Exons: 2
Source: RefSeq, a predicted model, not a curated record